Non-coding RNA from Rhineura floridana, 77 nucleotides. The record is from the annotation of a RefSeq genome assembly. Lineage: Eukaryota; Metazoa; Chordata; Lepidosauria; Squamata; Rhineuridae.
GGGGAUGGACCGUAGCUCAGUGGUAGAGCAUCUGCCUCGCACGCAGAAGGUCCAAGGUUCAAUCCCCAGCAUCUCCA